Molecule: ribosomal RNA, 497 nt
Filed under: uncultured bacterium
Lineage: Bacteria
Description: partial 16S ribosomal RNA
Rfam family: Bacterial small subunit ribosomal RNA
Source: RNAcentral
UAUGCACGCUGGCGGCGUGCCUAAUACAUGCAAGUCGAGCGAACAGACGAGGAGCUUGCUCCUCUGACGUUAGCGGCGGACGGGUGAGUAACACGUGGAUAACCUACCUAUAAGACUGGGAUAACUUCGGGAAACCGGAGCUAAUACCGGAUAAUAUAUUGAACCGCAUGGUUCAAUAGUGAAAGACGGUUUUGCUGUCACUUAUAGAUGGAUCCGCGCCGCAUUAGCUAGUUGGUAAGGUAACGGCUUACCAAGGCAACGAUGCGUAGCCGACCUGAGAGGGUGAACGGCCACACUGGAACUGAGACACGGUCCAGACUCCUACGGGAGGCAGCAGUAGGGAAUCUUCCGCAAUGGGCGAAAGCUUGACGGAGCAACGCCGCGUGAGUGAUGAAGGUCUUCGGAUCGUAAAACUCUGUUAUUAGGGAAGAACAAAUGUGUAAGUAACUAUGCACGUCUUGACGGUACCUAAUCAGAAAGCCACGGCUAACUACGUG